GGGGGUAGGGCCAUAGCUCAGUGGUAGAGCACCUGCCUUGAAUACAGAAGGUCACGGGUUUGAUCCCCAGUGUCUCCA
This is a non-coding RNA of Podarcis lilfordi (Lilford's wall lizard), 78 nucleotides long. NCBI's taxonomy places the organism in Eukaryota, Metazoa, Chordata, Lepidosauria, Squamata, Lacertidae. The record is from the annotation of a GenBank genome assembly.